RNAcentral lists this ribosomal RNA (499 nucleotides) under uncultured Glomeromycotina. RNAcentral's name for it is "partial small subunit ribosomal RNA". It matches the Rfam family "Eukaryotic small subunit ribosomal RNA", at positions 591 to 1092 of the family's 1831-position model. Lineage: Eukaryota; Fungi; Glomeromycota. The record is from RNAcentral.
CCAAUAGCGUAUAUUAAAGUUGUUGCAGUUAAAAAGCUCGUAGUUGAAUUUCGGGAUCAACUUGUCGGUCGUGCCUCGGUACGUACUGGUAUUAUUGGUUCCUACCUUCUGACGAACCGCGAUGUCAUUAAUUUGGUGUCGUGGGGAAUCAGGACUGUUACUUUGAAAAAAUUAGAGUGUUUAAAGCAGGCUUACGCUUGAAUACAUUAGCAUGGAAUAAUGAAAUAGGACGUUUGAUUCUAUUUUGUUGGUUUCUAGGACCGACGUAAUGAUUAAUAGGGAUAGUUGGGGGCAUUAGUAUUCAAUUGUCAGAGGUGAAAUUCUUGGAUUUAUUGAAGACUAACUACUGCGAAAGCAUUUGCCAAGGAUGUUUUCAUUAAUCAAGAACGAAAGUUAGGGGAUCGAAGACGAUCAGAUACCGUCGUAGUCUUAACCAUAAACUAUGCCGACUAGGGAUCGGAUGAUGUUAAUUUUUUAAUGACUCAUUCGGCGCCUUACG